Molecule: non-coding RNA, 596 nt
Organism: Macaca mulatta (Rhesus monkey)
Lineage: Eukaryota; Metazoa; Chordata; Mammalia; Primates; Cercopithecidae
Source: RefSeq, a predicted model, not a curated record
CUACAGAGACAGAAAGUGGAUUAUUGGUUGCUAAGGAAAGACUAGGGUAGUUGGGAGUAACCCAACUGACUGUUAAAAGGCUUUUCACUGAAAAGAAUGCCAAAUGCCUCUCGAAGUAAUAAAGAGACUGAACUAAUCUAAAAUUCUGUUUGAAACUCUCAAGUCACUUGGAACCAAUAUAUGUUAUCAUUAUCCCAUUCCAGUCUAUCCUCAUUCCUGUCCAUCCUCAAUUACCAAUAGACCAAAAAUUAUCAUCUUGUAUUGAAGCUUGAACAGUUAAGAAGGAAAAGGGUUAUAUCACAAGCGGCUUACAAUAAAUACUGUAUCUUGUCUACUUUUGAGGCUAAGGAUCAGCUUCCAUAAUGACUUACUGGAAUACUGUUUGGGAAAGAAAUGCAACCUGUGAGAAAUUGGAACUCCAGCAACAUCCACGCUGAUCUUACUGCUCUAGAAAACUGAUUGGAAAACUCAGGAUACUGAUAAAGGCCACUGUCCAGGUAACAUUGAUGUGUGGCAUUUCCUUCUCAACACCCAGUUUCUGGCAUCACUGGAACAGAAAUAAUCAUGGAGACACCCACAUCAGCUCCUCAGCAGCU